AUUUGAGAGAGGAGACUACUCAAAGGACUGAAAUAGAGAAGGAUUUACUACACAAUUGAGGUGAUAUCUAAGGAUUUUAGAGACAGUGUUAGGGAGAAGUUCUUUGCGUUGAGCUAGCUAAGAUUUUGAUCAAGAAGAGUAGCAUAUGUUUGGGCUUCCACUGGGAUGUGCGCAUGAGUGAAGUUUAAGAAAUUAAUGGAAUAAGAUUUGAACUUCUAUGUU
This is a long non-coding RNA of Quercus lobata, 222 nucleotides long. RefSeq lists it as uncharacterized. NCBI's taxonomy places the organism in Eukaryota, Viridiplantae, Streptophyta, Magnoliopsida, Fagales, Fagaceae. The record is from RefSeq and is a predicted model, not a curated record. The transcript is spliced from 3 exons.